RNAcentral lists this long non-coding RNA (215 nucleotides) under Hordeum vulgare. RNAcentral's name for it is "long non-coding RNA (HVUL_LNC016431)". The record is from RNAcentral. Lineage: Eukaryota; Viridiplantae; Streptophyta; Magnoliopsida; Poales; Poaceae.
GAACCGUUUAUUAAAAGGCAAAUAAAAAGUGAAAAACAAGUGAAGAGGCACCUUGUCUCCCGAUAACCAAACCCGCACCAAAAACAAAAAAAAUAAUAACUCACGCCGCAUUGGCAGAUUUACGUUGCAGUCUGACUUUACACCAGUGCGAGUGCGCACAUAGAAAUACGUUUUCCUCGACGCCAGAAAAGGAAAAGCCGCGCGCAGAUACGGAC